RNAcentral lists this ribosomal RNA (492 nucleotides) under uncultured bacterium. RNAcentral's name for it is "partial 16S ribosomal RNA". It matches the Rfam family "Bacterial small subunit ribosomal RNA", at positions 29 to 507 of the family's 1533-position model. The record is from RNAcentral.
AGUGAACGCUGGCGGUAGGCCUAACACAUGCAAGUCGAACGGCAGCACAGUAAGAGCUUGCUCUUACGGGUGGCGAGUGGCGGACUGGUGCGGAAUACACCGGAACCUACUUUUUCGUGGGGGAUAACGUAGGGAAACUUACGCUAAUACCGCAUACGACCUACGGGUGAAAGCAGGGGAUCUUCGGACCUUGCGCGAUUGAAUGAGCCGAUGUCGGAUUAGCUAGUUGGCGGGGUAAAGGCCCACCAAGGCGACGAUCCGUAGCUGGUCUGAGAGGAUGAUCAGCCACACUGGAACUGAGACACGGUCCAGACUCCUACGGGAGGCAGCAGUGGGGAAUAUUGGACAAUGGGCGCAAGCCUGAUCCAGCAAUACCGCGUGGGUGAAGAAGGCCUUCGGGUUGUAAAGCCCUUUUGUUGGGAAAGAAAAGCAGCAGGUUAAUACCCCGCUGUUCUGACGGUACCCAAAGAAUAAGCACCGGCUAACUUCGUG